Molecule: long non-coding RNA, 3891 nt
Filed under: Sus scrofa (pig)
Lineage: Eukaryota; Metazoa; Chordata; Mammalia; Artiodactyla; Suidae
Description: lncRNA (ENSSSCG00000057723.1)
Source: RNAcentral
AAAAGAAAAAAAAAGAAGCCAGACAUUUUUUUCUUUUGUUUCAACUUGAUUAAUUGAAUAAUCUUCCCUGUACUAAAUAGCCACCUUUAUCAUAUUCCAAAUUCUUUUGUUUUAAAAUAUAUUUCUCUACCUACUAUUAAACUUAGUCUAUUCAUUCAUAAGUCAUUAUCACAAUGUGAAGUUACUAUUGCUUUAUACUAUAUCUUAAUCUUAUUUAUUUCAGAAUUGCCUUAUAAACUUAUGAUAGACUUGAAAUAGUCCCUAUUAAGGAAUAAAUUUCAUCUUGUUUAUUUCAAUCUGUGAAAAUAUUUUUGAAUCUUAAUUCUGAGAUUAAACCGCUCUCUCUCUUUUUGUACAAUCAUAUUUGAUAACCAUGCCUAUAGCUCUUAAUCCAAUAUAAAAUUUUCAACCGAAAAGGGCUAGAAAUAGAGUCCUAUAGCAUUAUCCUAGAGCCUUAUUACUCUAAGUGUGGCCUAUGGACCAACCCCAUUAUUAUUUUGGGGAACUUAUUAUAAAUUCUGAGUCUCAGGCCCUAACCCAGACUUACUAAUUAAAAAGCUGAAUUUUUUGGUCACUCCUGCAGCAUGUGGAAGUUCCCAGGCAAAGGAUUGAACUUGCGCCACAGCAGCCACCUGAGCUUCUUCAGUGACAAUGCUGGAUCCUUACCCUGCUACGCUGCAAGGGAACCUCUAAAAAUCUGCAUUUUAUCAAGAUUCCCCAAAUGAUUUGUACACAUGUUAAAAGUUUGAGUGCAGUAUACAAUAGAGAUUUCCCUGUAGGAUAAUAAUUCACAACUUUCACUGCACAUUAAAUUCACCUGGGAGAGCUUUUAAAAAAUAUUGAGGCUUGGCCUGCACUCCUAGAGAUUGAUUUAAUUGGUCUGGGGUUAGGACCCUUGGCAUUGAUAUUUUUAAAAAUCCCUAAUUGCAGCCAGGGUUGAGAAACAGUGCUCUAGAAUUACAGCUUGCCAUUGUUAGGGUCCCGGUUACUUAAAAACCAGAAAGUAUGCCUUUAUCAUCUGUCAGGACAUCAUUAGGAAAAAAGCUAUGAUCCAAAAGCGUUAUCCAUGCAACUCGCAGCCCCAGAACUUAGCUGUUAUGCCCCGUCUGGCUUGGCUUUUCCCCUCACCAUUUCUUUGAUUUCCUUGAUAAAUGACUCUUGCUUCCUUCUCUCUUUAUCUUUCUGUUCUGACACCCAAUAAAGGUUUCUGACUUAUCUGCCUAUUCUAAUAAGCAGCCACAGAUUGAUUCCUGCCUGUGUUUCUGUCCUACUGCCUUAAAUAUUCCUUUUCAUGAAUCUGAUAUAAUUUUUAUCCUUGCCUGUGGGUUCCAGAUGUAGUUUAAGAAAUUUGAAUUCCUUGUACAGUUAAAUUCCAUACUCAUGAAUAGCUAUUAUAAUGGUCAACUCAUCUUACUGUUCAGCCAUGGUCAUUAGCAAAGGAUUCCCCUGAUGUACUAACCCAGUAACUUAAGCUAAAGUGGAAAGGGGGUUCGUUUUGAAUGACAUUCUGAGGGAAUAUAUUUCAGCUUACUGUGUUAAGUAUACUUACUAUGUUUAGUAUAAACUGCUGUAGAAUGUUGCAGGCUAUCAGAAUCAAGCUUUCCCCCGAGUAAUUAUUGAAAAACAUACUAUUGAAAUUUGGAAAGAUAUCAGUCUACACUUUUCCAGAAACCUACUCACCCCUCUCCCUUUUUAAAACAUUAUUUCUCAGAGGUUGCUAAUACUGACACUGCAAUCAAUAGGCACAUUCUUUCAGCAUCUGAACAUAUAAUUCUCAGGAGUCUUGGAGUCAUGACUUCUGUUAGAGUGCUUAAUUCUCAUUUCUUCACGUAUUUUAAGCUUCUGGUCUGCCUUUAGGUUUGUUCACUUAAGAUACAUGAGUGAAGCACCAUAAUGUGCUGAACUUAGAGUUGAAUAAUCAGGAGGUUUAGUCUCCAUUUGGAGUUGGUGAUAUGUGUGUCCCCAACCAGUACACACUCUGGUGUGAAUGACUGGAUGGGGUAGAUGAAAUUAUAUGUGUGGAAGCAGCUGAUCUUAAAGUUCUGAAUUUUUGAUACUGAUAUUAUGGAUUUGCAGAUUGUGUGUGUGUGUGUGUGUGUGUGUGUGUGUGUGUGUGUGUGUCUAUUUAGGGCGGCACCCACAGAAUAUGGAGGUUCCCAGGCUAGGGGGCAAAUCAGAGCUGUAGCUGCUGGUCUACACCACGGCCCUAGCAACGCAUAAUUGGAGCCUCAUCUGUGAUCUACACCAAAGCUCACGGUGACUCUGGAUCCUUAACCCACUGAGCGAGGCCAGGGAGCAAACCUGAAUCCUUAGGGGUGCUAGUCAGAUUUAUGCUGAGCCACAGCGGGAACUCCAAAUUUGCAAAUUUUUAAAGUUUGCCCUUGAGGUGUAGAUAAUGCUCAGAGUUUUAUCUUGACCUGUUUCCAAGUACUGUUUUGAUGUGUGUGUGUGUGUGUGUGUGUGUGUGUGUGUGUGUGUUUGCCAUUUCUAGGGCCGCUCCUGCAGCAAAUGGAGGUUCCCAGGCUAGGGGUCUAAUCAGAGCUGUAGCCUCUGGCCUACACCAGAGCCACAGCAACGUGGGAUCCAAGCCACGUCUGCAACCUACACCACAGCUCAUGGCAACACCAGAUCCUUAACCCACUGAGCAAGGCCAGGGAUUGAACCCGCAACCUCAUGGUUCCUAGUCAGAUUCAUUAACCACUGAGGCAUGACAGGAACUCCUGAUUUUCUUUUCAGCUUGAAAAUAUUUCUUUUUGUUUAAAAAGAUGGAGGCAAUAUAAUAAAAAGUAGCCCGAUUCUCUUUUUUUCAGCUACUAAAAUCAUACAAUUUCCCUCAAGCAAUAGGCCUAUUUCUUCUUUGAAGUAUUUCUCCCCAUAUACUUUUUUUUUCUUUUUGGCUGCACCCAUGGCAUGUGGAAGUUCCUGGGCCAGGGAUAGAAUCUGAGCCACAGCUGUGACCUACACCACAGCUUUGGCAACACUAGAUCCUUAACCUGCUGCACCACAGCAGGAACUCCUCUUCCUACAAACUUCUGAAGAGACUCUACAGGUGAAAGAAAGUUAAAGAAAAAAAUCAAGAAAGAAAUUUAGCAUCUUUGGUUUUUGUGGCAUACAGUUAGAGUGCUAAAGGCAGAUUUGGCUCAGCAAAUAUUUACCAACAAGUCAUUUGUAACAUAUUUUACGAUCUUCCUUAAAAUCUGCCUUGGAGUUCUCUUUGUGGCACAGCAGAAACGAUCUGACUAGGAACCAUGAGGUUGUGGUUUCAAUCCUGGGCCUCGCUCAAUGGGUUGAUCCGGCUUUGCCGUGAGCUGUGGUGUAGGUCGAAGACACAGCUCAGAUCCCGAGUUGCUGUGGCUGUGGUGUAGGCCGGCAGCUACAGCUCUGAUUGGACCCCUAGCCUGGGAACUUCCAUAAGGCUAAGGGAGCGGCCCUAAGAAGCGGAAAAAAAGAAGAAAAAAAAAAAAAAGCCUUUUCCAACUUCAGAAUAGUGGCAGAAUAGUCGGGAGGGGAGAGAAUUAAUAAUGAUGACUGAAUAGUAUUUUACUCUUUGCCAGGCACCUGUUUUAUUUGAUCCUCAGAACAACCCUCUGGGGAAGGCACUAACUUCCAUUACAGAUCAGGAAAACAGGCAGAAGAUCAGGCAAUAAACACUAACACACAUUGUUUAGUUGCAUCUAUUAAAGUGCCAGAGUUAGGGAAUUCCCAUUGUGGCGCAGUGGAAACAAAUCCAGCUAGUAUCCAUGAGCAUGUGGGUUCAUCCCUGGCCUCGAACAGUGGGUUGGGGAUCCGGCGUUGCCGUGACCUGUGGUGUAGGUCACAGACACGGCUUGGAUCCCGUGUUGCUGUGGCUGUGGUGUGAGCCAGCAGCUGCUACAGGUGUGGCCCUAAAAU